Molecule: ribosomal RNA, 220 nt
Filed under: uncultured bacterium
Lineage: Bacteria
Description: partial 16S ribosomal RNA
Rfam family: Bacterial small subunit ribosomal RNA
Source: RNAcentral
GCAAGUCGAACGAACCCUUCGGGGUGAGUGGCGCACGGGGGGUUAACCGGUGGAAACCUGCCUUUAGGUUCGGAAUAACGCAGAGAAAUUUGAGCUAAUACCGGAUAAUGUCUUCGGACCAAAGAUUUAUCGCCUGUAGAUGGGCCCGCGUUAGAUUAGGUAGUUGGUGGGGUAAUGGCCUACCAAGCCGACGAUCUAUAGCUGGUCUGAGAGGAUGAUC